UACAGAGGGUGCGAGCGUUAAUCGGAAUUACUGGGCGUAAAGCGUGCGUAGACGGUUAUUUAAGUCGGGUGUGAAAGCCCCGGGCUCAACCUGGGAAUUGCAUUCGAGACUGAAUAGCUAGGGUACGGUAGAGGGAAGCGGAAUUUCCGGUGUAGCGGUGAAAUGCGUAGAUAUCGGGAGGAACACCAGUGGCGAAGGCGGUUGUCUGGAGCUUUGCUGACGCUGAGGCGCGAAAGCGUGGGGAGCGAGCCGG
This 253-nucleotide ribosomal RNA is filed under the name uncultured bacterium. RNAcentral's name for it is "partial 16S ribosomal RNA". It matches the Rfam family "Bacterial small subunit ribosomal RNA", at positions 524 to 776 of the family's 1533-position model. The record is from RNAcentral.